AUGCCCCCGAGGGUCAUUUUUCUGCUCGGACUUGUGUUUUGCUGGGACCAAAGGAUUUGGGCACAGACUGACCUCUACCCUUCUCUGGAAAGCUUCCUGGUCUCCAGCCCUUUCCCGUCAUCACGGAUGAGUCAAGAGGAAGAUGCUCAGGUUUUACAAAAAUGCAGCAAGGUGACUCAGCUGAGGUCGGCAUUCACCAUGUGGAGAACUGGGGACAUUGGUAUGGGCCCCAGAGCCCCGGUGGGUACAGGAACCAGCCUUAAUUGGGUGUGUCAUGCAUCCCUUUCAUCUGCUAUCACCUCAACUGCUUCCAGCUCUUCUGCAGAAGGUCUGUUCACAGGAAGACACUCUCGCCCAGGAGAUGAACUUGAAGUAGAAUGAAGACCUUGGCAUUCCCGUCAUGGCGCAGUGGUUAAUGAAUCUGAAUAGGAACCAUGAGGCUGCAGGUUCGAUCCCUGGCCUUGCUCAGUGGGUUAAGGAUCCAGCAUUGCCGUGAGCUGUGGUGUAGGUCGCAGAUGCGGUUUGGGUCCCACGUUGCUGUGGCUGUGGUGUAGGCUGGUGGCUACAGCUCCGAUGGGACCCCUAGCCUGGGAACCUCCAUGUGCCGCAGGAAGCGGCCCUAGAAAAGGCCAAAAGACAAAACAGAAAAAAAGAGAAGACCUUAACGCUGGCUAGUGCUGAGAUCUUUGGCAAUUUCCUGCAUUGGCGCCCCAGGUUCUUGCUUUUUAAAAUGAAAUAAUAACUGUGUUGCAUUAGUUAAGAUACAAGGCAUGGCAAGCUCAGACCACAGCGCUUUGCCCAGAUUAGGGUUGCAUCUAGUAAUGCUCUCUUCCCUACAAAGUUAACACCACGCUAAUUACGUUACUGUUGACCAUGUUCUUGAUGCCGUUACAUCCUGUGGUUUAUUAUAUAACCGAAGCUUUGAACUUCUUAAUUCCCUUCCCUUCCUUCACCUCCUCCACCUUCCUUCUGGCAGCCACCUGUUUAUUCUCUGGUUUUCUGAGUCUGGGUUUUCAUUUGUUUUGUUCUUCGGAUUCCACUUGUUCCAUGUAAGUGAGAUCAUAUGAUAGUUGUUUUUCUCGGACUUAUUUCACUUAGCAGAACCACUCUAGAUCCACGCAUGUGGGCACAAAUGGCAAGAUUUCAUUUUUCUAUGGCCGAGUAAAAUGCCCUUAUAUGUACGCAUAUAUCAGAUCUUUGUCUAUUUGUCACUUCAUGGACUCUCUGGUCGCUUCUAUACCUUGGCUAUUGUGAAUAGUUCUGCUCUGAACCUUGGGGUGUGUGUAUUUUUUUGCAUUACAGUUUUCAUUUUUAGGGAGAUAGACACCUAGGAGUGGACUUGCUGGAGUAUAUGGUAGUUCUAGUUUUAGAUUUCUGAGAAAUAUCCGUACUGUUUUCCACAGUGGCCGCCCCAACGCACAUUCCCACCAAUAGCGUACGAGGGUUCCCUUUGCUUCACAUCCUCGCCAGCACUGCGCAGUCGUGGUCUUUUUCACGAUCACCAUACUGACUCGAGGGAGGAGAUAUUUCAUGUUGGUUUUAACUUUCAUGUCUUUGAUGAUCAGUGGUAUUGAGUGUCUUUUCAUGUCUGCUUUGGGAAAAUGUCUAUUCAUUUCUUCUGCCCAUUUUUUAAAUCAGCUGUUUUUUUUUUUUUUUUGCUGUUGAGGAAUAUGAGCCAUUUAUAUAUUUUGGGUAUUAAACCUCUUGUUGGUCAUAUCAUUUGCAAAUACUUUCUCCUAUUCAGUAGAUUGUCUUUUUUUUUGGCAAUGGUUUCUUUUGCUGUGCAAAAGCCUUUAAAUUUAAUUAGGUUCCUUUUGUUUAUUUUUGCUUUUAUUUCCUUUGUUUUAGGAGGUAUAUCGAAAAAACAUUGCUAUGAUUUAUGUCAAAGAGUGUUCAGUCUUUAUUUUAUUUUAGGAGUUUCAUGGUUCCUGGCCUUAUAUUUGGACCUUUAAUCAAUCAAUUAAAAAAUUUUUUUUAAAUUGUAGUUGAUUUACAAUAUUCUGUUAAUUUCUGCUGUAUAGCAAAUUGACCCAGGCAUACAUAUGUAUACAUUAUUUUUCUCAUAUUGUCUUCUAUCACAAAUGAUUUGAUAUAGUUUCCUAUGCUGUACAGUAGGGCCUUAUUGUCUAUCCAUCUUAAAUGUAAUAGUUUGCAUCUACUAACCCCAAACUCCCCAUCCCUCCCACUCCCUUCACCUCCCUCUUGGCAACCAUGAGUCUGUUCUCCAUGUCUGUGAGUCUGUUUCUGUUCUGUAGAUACAGAAUAUCUGUGCCAUAUUUUAGAUUCCACAUAUAAGUGAUAUCAUGUGGUAUUUGUCUUUCUCUUUCUGACUUACUUAGUAUGAGAAUCUCUAGUUGUAUCCAUGUUGCUGCAAAAGGCAUUAUUUGUUCUUUUUAAUGGAUGAAUAGUAUUCCAUUGUGUGUAUAUUACCACAUCCUCUUAAUCCAUUCGUCUGUUAAUGGACAUUUAGGUUGUUCCCAUGUCUUGGCUAUUGUGAAUAGUGCUGCAGUGAACAUAGGGGUGCAUGUAUCUUUUUGAAUGAAAGUUUUGUCCAGAUGUAUGCCCAGGAGGGGGAUUUCUGGAUCACAUGGUAGUUCUAUAUUUAGUUUUCUGAGGAACCUCCAUACUGUUUUCCAUAGUGGCUAUACCAGUUUACAUCCCCACCAACAGUAUAGGAGGGUUCCCUUUUCUCCACACCCUUUCCAGCCUUUGUUAUUUAUAGACUUAUUAAUGAUGGCCAUUCUGACUGGUACGAGGUGGUAUCUUAUUGUAGUUUUUAUUUGCAUUUCUCUGAUAAUUAGUGAUGUUGAGCAUUUUUCAUGUGCCUGUUGGCCAUUUAAUCUAUUUUGAGUUUCUUUUUUAUUGUAUAUGGUGUUAGAGAAUGCUUUAACUUCAUUCUUUUACAUGCAGCUGUCCAUUUCCCGUACUACCAUUUACUGAAGAGACUGUCCAUUGUAUAUUCUUGCAUUUUUUUCAUAGAUUAAAUUAACCAUAAAUGCAUGGAUUUAUUUCUGGGCUCUUUAUUCGAUUUCAUUCAUCUGUGUGUCUGCUUUCAGGACAGUACCAUACUGUUUUGAUUACUGUAGCUUUGUAGCAUAGUCUGAAGUCAGGAAGCAUGAGUUCUCCGGGUUUGUAGUUCUUUCUCAAGAUUGUCUUGACUAUUCAGGGUCUUUUGUGUUUCCAUGCAAAUUUUUAAACUACUCAUUCUAGUUCUGUGAAAAAUGCCAUGGACAUUUUGAUAGGGAUUGCCUUGAACCUAUAGAUUGCCACAUGUAAUGUGGCCAUUAUAACCAUAUUAAUUUUUCCAGUUCAUGAACAUGGUAUAUCUUUCUAUCUGUUUGUGUCAUCUUCAACAUCUUGCCUCGUAUAUGGAAGACAUGCAAUAAAUGUUUAUUGAAUGGAUGAAUUAAUCCAACAGGAGGUCAGUAACAGGUAUUUACUGUUGACUAAUUCCUAGAUCUACCUGAAAUCUACCUAAAUCCUCCUGAAAAUGGAUAUCUUCCCAUUGUGAUUGGGACCUCAGCCAUCAGUGUUCUCCCUCUCUUCCUCCUCUUCCUCCUCCUCUGCCAUUGCUGGUGUCGAGCCAAACACAGUAGGUCCUGGAUGGGGGGAAGAGGUAACCUGGGAAGAGUGCGGGGGAGGGGCUCAACAGAUUCCCCUACCAGGACUCUGAUCACUGACUCCCUGUAGGGGCCACGGAUGAUGAGACCAAGAGCCAAGUGCAGUAUGACAGGUGGGGAAAAUUGGACCCCCUCCCGUAGACACUGCUGCUUCUGUCUCAUUUCUCAGACCUUCCUUAAUGCUUCUUUCUCCUUCCACUCAGCUCCGGCCCAGGCUUGAACUUUGCAGAAGACAAUCAAUCUAAGAGGAGUGAGAAGGAGGGGCAACCGGGGUAGGGAAAGAUGUGUUCAGGAGAAGAUAGACGGCCUCCCGGAAGGAGCAGAGACGUGGCACACACCUCACUGGGUGUGAUAUCCCUGCUCUUCCCUGACAUUGGCACCCCCCAAGUCCAGACGGCAGGGUGGGAUGACCGGAGGCUCCCCCUGGAAGCCCUUCCUCUCCUCUUUCUUUCCAGGUGGUGUCUCAGUGGAUAUCGCCUCUGAGGGGGACAGACAGAUGGACAUGGAGGCCCUCCCAGAGGAAGACCCACAGGACGUGAUCUCUGUUCAGCAACACUGAGAUUCCCUGAUGGGGAGUGUGGAUUCAGAGUUCUCCUGCACCCUUGAGGAAUCCUUGUGAUAGCCCUGUGUGUAUAUCACCCUCCCCUGGUCUUGAGUGCAGAGCCAGAACUGGCCAUGUGGACUCCAGCGCUUAAGGGCCCCUUAAGGAAGAUGCGGCGUCCCACUCGUGUCCCCCACAGCAGCAGCAUCUUGGAGCUCCCCAAAGACUCAAGAAUAGAGAAGCCUUGUCACCUGUCAAGAAAUUCUGGGAUGCAUCGCAUCCCUCAACCGAUUCCUGGUUCCUUCUGUUUUUAUCCCCUCAUUUGCUUAUUUAACAGAUAUUCGCAGAAGUUGACUCUUCCUUUGCACCUGUGCUGAGGAGGGACAGAUCAGUAGGACACAGCUCCUGGUCUUAAGGAGUGCCUGGCCUCCUGAGAGAGGCAAACCUUAUGAUCGCUUGGACCCUUAGAAAGCAAAGAGGGGGUGAGCUACUGGAGCAGGGGAAGGAUGAUGUGGGCGACACAGGAAUACUCAUCCGGGUGCAUUUAAGGAGGACCCACAGGUACCCAACGCAAGGAGAAGUCAAGAAGACAUAGGAGUCAAACUGGGCGGGAGGGAGUUCCUGGUGGCAUUUUGCUCCAAUGCUCUAGGUUUUGUGUGAGCUGAAGCCUUCAGAGCAGCAAAAGGCGAACAAGAAAGAUUCUUUGUAAAGGAACCAAAUUGCAACUAUUUGACCAGAAGAAGGAUUUCUCUUGGGGAGGGGAAUGGUGCAGAGGGUGUUUGGGGGGGGUAUGGUUUCCCUCUAGUUUUGGUGAAUUUCACUUUUUAGUUAUGCAAUGAAAAGAAAUAGAAUACAAUAUAACGAGAUGGGAGUGGCAGGAGAGGAAUUGGAGUUGGUAUUAAAGUAGAUGCGAAUGAUUACAUUUGAGAUGGAUGAGCAGUGAGGUCCUACAGUACAGCACAGGGGACUCUGUCCAGUCUCUUGGGAGAGACUAUGAUGGAAGAUAAUAGGAGAAAAAGAAUUUGUGUGACUGGGGCACUCUGCUGCACAGCAGAAAUUGGCACAACACU
RNAcentral lists this long non-coding RNA (5231 nucleotides) under Sus scrofa (pig). RNAcentral describes it as "lncRNA (ENSSSCG00050055615.1)". Lineage: Eukaryota; Metazoa; Chordata; Mammalia; Artiodactyla; Suidae. The record is from RNAcentral.